ACGGGAGGCAGCAGUGGGAAUAUUGCACAAUGGGCGCAAGCCUGAUGCAGCCAUGCCGCGUGUAUGAAGAAGGCCUUCGGGUUGUAAAGUACUUUCAGUCGUGAGGAAGGUGGUGUUGUUAAUAGCAGCAUCAUUUGACGUUAGCGACAGAAGAAGCACCGGCUAACUCCGUGCCAGCAGCCGCGGUAAUACGGAGGGUGCGAGCGUUAAUCGGAAUUACUGGGCGUAAAGCGCAUGCAGGUGGUGGAUUAAGUCAGAUGUGAAAGCCCGGGGCUCAACCUCGGAACCGCAUUUGAAACUGGUUCACUAGAGUACUGUAGAGGGGGGUAGAAUUUCAGGUGUAGCGGUGAAAUGCGUAGAGAUCUGAAGGAAUACCGGUGGCGAAGGCGGCCCCCUGGACAGAUACUGACACUCAGAUGCGAAAGCGUGGGGAGCAAACAGGAUUAGAUACCCUGGUAGUCCACGCCGUAAACGAUGUCUACUUGGAGGUUGUGGCCUUGAGCCGUGGCUUUCGGAGCUAACGCGUUAAGUAGACCGCCUGGGGAGUACGGUCGCAAGAUUAAAACUCAAAUGAAUUGACGGGGGCCCGCACAAGCGGUGGAGCAUGUGGUUUAAUUCGAUGCAACGCGAAGAACCUUACCUACUCUUGACAUCUACAGGAUCCUGCGGAGACGCGGGAGUGCCUUCGGGAACUGUAAGACAGGUGCUGCAUGGCUGUCGUCAGCUCGUGUUGUGAAAUGUUGGGUUAAGUCCCGCAACGAGCGCAACCCUUAUCCUUGUUUGCCAGCAAGUAAUGGUGGGAACUCCAGGGAGACUGCCGGUGAUAAACCGGAGGAAGGUGGGGACGACGUCAAGUCAUCAUGGCCCUUACGAGUAGGGCUACACACGUGCUACAAUGGCGCAUACAGAGGGCAGCAAGCUAGCGAUAGUGAGCGAAUCCCAAAAAGUGCGUCGUAGUCCGGAUUGGAGUCUGCAACUCGACUCCAUGAAGUCGGAAUCGCUAGUAAUCGUAGAUCAGAAUGCUACGGUGAAUACGUUCCCGGGCCUUGUACACACCGCCCGUCACACCAUGGGAGUGGGCUGCAAAAGAAGUGGGUAGUUUAACCUUUCGAGGAGGACGCUCACCACUUGGUCAU
Molecule: ribosomal RNA, 1136 nt
Filed under: Vibrio anguillarum
Lineage: Bacteria; Pseudomonadati; Pseudomonadota; Gammaproteobacteria; Vibrionales; Vibrionaceae
Description: bacterial SSU rRNA
Rfam family: Bacterial small subunit ribosomal RNA
Source: RNAcentral